Molecule: ribosomal RNA, 253 nt
Filed under: uncultured bacterium
Lineage: Bacteria
Description: partial 16S ribosomal RNA
Rfam family: Bacterial small subunit ribosomal RNA
Source: RNAcentral
UACAUGGGGUGCAACCGUUGCUCGGAAUCAUUGGGCGUAAAGCGCGCGUAGGCGGUUACUUAAGUCGAAUGUGAAAGCCCUCGGCUUAACCGAGGAAGUGCAUCCGAAACUGAGUAGCUAGAGUACGAAAGAGGGUCGCGGAAUUCCCGGUGUAGAGGUGAAAUUCGUAGAUAUCGGGAGGAACACCGGUGGCGAAGGCGGCGACCUGGGUCGAGACUGACGCUGAGGCGCGAAAGCGUGGGGAGCGAACAGG